UCUGGAAUUGACGGCCGUUUACUUCCGUUAGCUGUUAGUAGUUGAUGCUUAACCAUGGUUAAACACUACUUUUCAAUUUCCCCUCUUUCAAUUUUUCAAUGUAGGGUUCAUAGGUUUAGUCGACAAGCGUUUCUAGAGGUGUUCAUGGAACUCGGCGAUUGAAAGCGGCUUUAUAAUGUGUGGCUUAUGGUUGCUAAUUUAGACAUUGGAUACAUUUUUUGGGGGUAGUGGUGUAUUUGAUUUGGUUGUUAGUCAGAUUAAUUAGUUGAAAUGAUUGGAAGUACUGCAGUAGAUGUUGAAGGCUCUCCUGAUCGGGAUUGCAUAGAGGUGGUACUAUCUAUGUCCCCCGUAGUAGAUGGUAGGGGAUGUGUAGAUGACAGUUGUUAUAGGACCCCAAUUAGGACAGUAAAGACUGUACACACCGUUGUUUCGAGUAACAAGGUAACAGUUGUGUCUUAUGUAGAACCCCCCCAGGAAGGAAUGGUUUUUAAAUCAUGGCAGGAUGUUGAAGCUUAUUACGAGGAAUACGCUGAACAAAAUGGUUUUGGUGUGACCAGGAUUCGGGGCUCAUAUACUAAAGAAAAGGAACGUAGGGCGACUAAAUGGCGUUGUGAAUAGUGAGGUAGACCUGACAUGAGGUCGGUUAGGGUGGCGAAGAAGAGAGCCAAAGAAAUGCAGGACUGUGGUACUGGUGGGGUAUUGGUGGGGUAUUGGUGGUGUAAUUGGAGAGGAUGAGCUGAGCCGUUGUAAGCGAAAAUUAAAGAAGUGUGAGUGCAAGGCAAGGAUAUAUGCAAGUGUGAAUGGGGAGGGUGAGUGGGUGCUUAAGACUGUAGUGUUAGAACAUAAACACUUGAUAAACCCGAGUUUUGCAAAACUGGUUAAGGAGUACAGAAUGAAGAAUUACUCAUAUACUGUUAGGAAGAGGUUAAUGAAUUAUUAUGAUUAGGGUGUUCAGUUAAACAAAUCCAUGGAUGUCUUGGGAUUGAAAUGGAAGAAAACAUGUCUAUGACUGUGAAAUAUUUACAACACGAGGUUUAUAAGGAGCGUAAAUCUAAGAUGCAAGGGGGUGAUUCAGUUGCCAUGAUGUCAUAUUUUGAGUAUAUGAUGGUCGAUAAUCAAAAAAAUUUCCAUGCAAAUAGGGUUGAUGAUGAUGGUCGGUUGAAAGAUGUUCUGUGGGUUGAUGCUCAUAGUCGGGCUGCGUACGAGUGCAUUGGUGAUAUAGUUUGUUUUGAUGUCACCUACCUUACUAACGAGUACGAAUUGCGCUUUCUUAAUUUUGUGGGGGUGAACCACCAUGGGCAAUCUCUUUUGCUUGGCUAUGCACUUGUUUCUCACGAGGACACAGAAACUUUACGUUGGGUAUUCCGCCAAUGGCUGACCUGCAUGGGCGGCAAAGCACCAGUAGGAUUUCUUACCGAUCAAGCAACUGCUAUACGUAAACCUUUGGCUAAAGUCAUGCCUAAUACUAGGCACAGGUAGUGUAUUUGGCAUAUCCCAUCCAAAUUUCAUGAUAAGUUGGAAAAAUUACCUUUGUAUAACGAGUUUAAGAACAAGCUAAAAUUUGUUGUAUAUGAGAGUUUUACUACUGAUGAGUUUAAGAAGAACUGGAGUGCCUCAAUCAAGCAGUACAAUCUUGAAAGUAAUGAGUGGUUGUCUGGUUUGUAUGAAGAAAGGCACAUGUAGGUGCCUUCAUUUAUGAACGAGUUUUUUUGGGCAGGCAUGAAAACGACACAGAGAGUGGAGAGCAUAAAUAGCUUCUAUGAUGGAUUUGUUAACCAGAAAACCAAGUUGUUUGAGUUCCCAAGGCAAUAUACUCGAGCUUUGACGAAGCGUGUGAAAGAUGAAGUGGAUGCUAAUGAUAACUGCUCCAAAUAUAUUAGGCGGUUGAUUAGUGGAUUUAAGUUGGAGACGGUCUUUCAAAGGCUAUACACUGACAGAAAAUUUCAAGAGGCUCAAACAAAGUUAGAAUGGUUGAUGUAUUGUUAUUGCCGUGAUGAACGUAGGUUAUCUGAUACCGUUGUGCAAUACCUACUUGAGGAUCACGUGUGGAUUGUAUCACCUGGCCAUAGUCAUGAGAUACUCACUGAUCGAAGACGGUUUUACCGCGUUACCUUUGACACCGUCACCAAAGAAGUAGAGUGUGAUUGUCGUAAGUCGAGACAUUCGACAUAAUGUGUAAGCACAGUAUGCGUAUUCUAGAUCAAAAUCUGGUGUUUGACAUCCCUCAAAAAUAUAUCCUUACUCGAUGGCGCAAGGACAUUGUGCGAAGACACAUGAGGGUUAAAGUUCCCUAUCAUGACCCUUCCCUUUCUGUGCCAGUUAAAAGGUUUAACAAGAUGCUGACUGCCUUUGAGCCAAUUUCCGACAUAGCUUCUAUAGUUGACAAUGCAGCCGUUGAGAUUGUUCUGCAGACUCUUGCGAAAUUGAAGGCUCAAGUCCAGAAGCUAAAAAAGAAGAAAGAUGAACUCAAUCCACUUCCAGAAGUUGUUGCUUUCCCUAGUGGACCCGAUCCUUCGCAACCAAAGUCAGCAGAUGCAGCUUUUACAAUGUCUUCUGUAAGAAAACCAGCUAGUGAAGAGAAGGAUGUUGAGGAUGCCGCCUUAGAGGAGGAUGAUGAUGAUGCAGGGGAUGAUCAUUAUAUGUUGGAUGCCAUUGAGCACCCUAUAGUUGAUCUCUCAGCAGACGAUGAUUCAAACCAACCAGGAUUUCUUGAUGCAUUCAAUGCAUCUGACAAGUAGAGUACUCCUACUGGCAUUGACCUUGUCAUAACAAAGAAACGCAGAGGACACCCACCUAAGGCGGUUGUUGCGAGGAUCCAAAAUGGUACUGUUGCAGACCCUGUUCCUAACCAAUCAGGUGUUGAGGACCCAAACCAACUCCUAGGGUCUGAAGAAGCCACUGCAGUGAAAUCACUUGCCAAUCAAAACCUCACACCUGUUCAUGAUCCUGUUAAACCACAGAAGCGUAGGGGACGGCCACGAAAGGCCUUGGUUGGUGACUACGCCACUACUGUUCACCAUUCCACACCUGAUAUUUCAGCAAAUAUUUCUCCAUCUCAACCAUACCAAUCAUGUAGUGUUAGAAAAGCUAUCUCAACUAAAAAUCCACCAACUAUUCUUGACCCAAUUAAACUAAAAAAGCGUAGAGGAAGGCCAAAGGGUAGCCGCAACAAAACAUUGGCGGAGAAAGGGUAUAAGAAGGACGGACCAAAGGAGAGACACACGAUCCUGCCACUCAAUUUAUACUGGACACCUUCUACCCAGCCUCAUUCAAUGGCUUAUCUAUGUCCAAAAGAAGAUGCCUACUGUCUGAUCAUGUGAAUAAAAAUGAUCCCUUUCACCUGGAGCUGCAGCAAUGGGAGACUGACUUUCAGCCGGAGAUUCAAGCAAGUCGGUUGAGUUUUAAUGUAAUAUAGGUCUAGAUCAGUUUGUACAUCUACAGGUUUCCCUUUGCGUUUGUAUUUGCCUUGUAGACUGUGGUUAAUUUCACCUGCAUGGUGUUCUACAUCUAAUUACUUUUAGUACUGAUGGUAUUACGUACGAAUUAUGAUUUGACUUCUUAUUA
Molecule: long non-coding RNA, 3564 nt
Organism: Chenopodium quinoa (quinoa)
Lineage: Eukaryota; Viridiplantae; Streptophyta; Magnoliopsida; Caryophyllales; Amaranthaceae
Exons: 5
Source: RefSeq, a predicted model, not a curated record